This 538-nucleotide ribosomal RNA is filed under the name uncultured bacterium. RNAcentral's name for it is "bacterial SSU rRNA". It matches the Rfam family "Bacterial small subunit ribosomal RNA", at positions 777 to 1329 of the family's 1533-position model. The record is from RNAcentral.
AAUAGAUACCCGGGUAGUCCACGCCGUAAACGAUGGAUGCUAGCUGUUAGAAGUAUCGACCCUUCUAGUAGCGUAGCUAACGCGUUAAGCAUCCCGCCUGUGGAGUACGGUCGCAAGACUAAAACAUAAAGGAAUUGACGGGGACCCGCACAAGCGGUGGAGCGUGUUGUUUAAUUCGAUGAUAAGCGAAGAACCUUACCCAGGCUUGACAUCCCACUAAGGACUCCGAAAGGAGACUGUGUCUUCGGACCGUGGUGACAGGUGUUGCAUGGCCGUCGUCAGCUCGUGUCGUGAGAUGUUUGGUUAAGUCCAUCAACGAGCGCAACCCUUAUAGUUAGUUGUAUUUCUCUAGCUAGACUGCCCUGGCAACAGGGAGGAAGGAGGGGAUGAUGUCAGGUCAGUAUUACCCUUACGUCUGGGGCUACAAACACGCUACAAUGGCCGGUACAAAGGGCAGCCAACCCGCGAGGGGGAGCAAAUCCCAUCAAAGCCGGUCUCAGUUCGGAUUGCAGGCUGAAACUCGCCUGCAUGAAGCUGG